CGUUCCCGGGUCUUGUACACACCGCCCGUCACACCACGAAAGUCGGCAACACCCGAAGCCGGUGGCCUAACCCGCAAGGGAGGGAGCCGUCGAAGGUGGGGCUGGCGAUUGGGGUG
This 116-nucleotide ribosomal RNA is filed under the name uncultured bacterium. Its description in RNAcentral is "partial 16S ribosomal RNA". It matches the Rfam family "Bacterial small subunit ribosomal RNA", at positions 1369 to 1482 of the family's 1533-position model. The record is from RNAcentral.